Molecule: ribosomal RNA, 460 nt
Filed under: uncultured bacterium
Lineage: Bacteria
Description: partial 16S ribosomal RNA
Rfam family: Bacterial small subunit ribosomal RNA
Source: RNAcentral
CCUACGGGAGGCAGCAGUGAGGAAUAUUGGUCAAUGGACGAGAGUCUGAACCAGCCAAGUAGCGUGAAGGAUGACUGCCCUAUGGGUUGUAAACUUCUUUUAUAUGGGAAUAAAACGUUCCACGUGUGGGAUUUUGUAUGUACCAUAUGAAUAAGGAUCGGCUAACUCCGUGCCAGCAGCCGCGGUAAUACGGAGGAUCCGAGCGUUAUCCGGAUUUAUUGGGUUUAAAGGGAGCGUAGGGGGAUUGUUAAGUCAGUUGUGAAAGUUUGCGGCUCAACCGUAAAAUUGCAGUUGAAACUGGCAGUCUUGAGUACAGUAGAGGUGGGCGGAAUUCAUGGUGUAGCGGUGAAAUGCUUAGAUAUCACGAAGAACUCCGAUUGCGAAGGCAGUUCACUGGACUGCAACUGACACUGAGGCUCGAAAGUGUGGGUAUCAAACAGGAUUAGAUACCCCAGUAGUC